Molecule: ribosomal RNA, 468 nt
Filed under: uncultured bacterium
Lineage: Bacteria
Description: partial 16S ribosomal RNA
Rfam family: Bacterial small subunit ribosomal RNA
Source: RNAcentral
GACGAACGCUGGCGGCGUGCUUAACACAUGCAAGUCGAACGGAAAGGCCCUGCUUUUGUGGGUUGCUCGAUUGCCGAACGCGUGAGUAUCACGUGUGUAUCCUGCCCUUGUCUUUCGUAUAACUUCACGAAACUGGGGCUAAUACCGUAUAUGAUCUCCUGCUCCGUGGUGUGCGUUGGAAAGUUUCGGCGGUUGGGGAUGGACUCGCGGCUUAUCAGCUUGUUGGUGGGGUAGUUGCUUACCAAGGCUUUGACGGGUAGCCGGCCUGAGAGGGGUGACGGGGACAUUGGGACUGAGAGACGGAGCAGAAGGCUACGGGAGGCAGCAGGGGGGAAUAUUGCACAAUGGGCGGAAGUGUGAUGCAGAAACGUUGGGUGCGGGAAGACGGCCUUCGGGGUGUAAACAGCUUUAGCCUGAGACGAAGCGGGAGUGACGGUAAUGGGUAAAGAAGCACCGGCUAACUACGUG